This 500-nucleotide ribosomal RNA is filed under the name uncultured bacterium. Its description in RNAcentral is "partial 16S ribosomal RNA". It matches the Rfam family "Bacterial small subunit ribosomal RNA", at positions 30 to 523 of the family's 1533-position model. The record is from RNAcentral.
AUUGAACGCUGGCGGCAGGCCUAACACAUACAAGUCGAGCGGUAGAGAGAAGCUUGCUUCUCUUGAGAGCGGCGGACGGGUGAGUAAUGCCUAGGAAUCUGCCUGGUAGUGGGGGAUAACGUUCGGAAACGGACGCUAAUACCGCAUACGUCCUACGGGAGAAAGCAGGGGACCUUCGGGCCUUGCGCUAUCAGAUGAGCCUAGGUCGGGUUAGCUAGUUGGUGGGGUAAUGGCUCACCAAGGCGACGAUCCGUAACUGGUCUGAGAGGAUGAUCAGUCACACUGGAACUGAGACACGGUCCAGACUCCUACGGGAGGCAGCAGUGGGGAAUAUUGGACAAUGGGCGAAAGCCUGAUCCAGCCAUGCCGCGUGUGUGAAGAAGGUCUUCGGAUUGUAAAGCACUUUAAGUUGGGAGGAAGGGCAGUAAAUUAAUACUCUGCUGUUUUGACGUUACCGACAGAAUAAGCACCGGCUAACUCUGUGCCAGCCGCCGCCGUAA